UGCUGUUGCUUCUAUUAAAAGACACAGAAAUAGGUUAAACCUCCCAGUGUUUUGCAUGUUUUGUUUUCCUUAGAAGCCAAGUUCCAAGCUUUACUGAUUUUC
Molecule: non-coding RNA, 102 nt
Organism: Tinamus guttatus (white-throated tinamou)
Lineage: Eukaryota; Metazoa; Chordata; Aves; Tinamiformes; Tinamidae
Source: RefSeq, a predicted model, not a curated record